GAUGAACGCUGGCGGCGUGCCUAAUACAUGCAAGUCGAGCGAACAGACGAGGAGCUUGCUCCUCUGACGUUAGCGGCGGACGGGUGAGUAACACGUGGAUAACCUACCUAUAAGACUGGGAUAACUUCGGGAAACCGGAGCUAAUACCGGAUAAUAUAUUGAACCGCAUGGUUCAAUAGUGAAAGACGGUUUGGCUGUCACUUAUAGAUGGAUCCGCGCCGCAUUAGCUAGUUGGUAAGGUAACGGCUUACCAAGGCAACGAUGCGUAGCCGACCUGAGAGGGUGAUCGGCCACACUGGAACUGAGACACGGUCCAGACUCCUACGGGAGGCAGCAGUAGGGAAUCUUCCGCAAUGGGCGAAAGCUUGACGGAGCAACGCCGCGUGAGUGAUGAAGGUCUUCGGAUCGUAAAACUCUGUUAUUAGGGAAGAACAAAUGUGUAAGUAACUAUGCACGUCUUGACGGUACCUAAUCAGAAAGCCACGGCUAACUACGUG
Molecule: ribosomal RNA, 497 nt
Filed under: uncultured bacterium
Lineage: Bacteria
Description: partial 16S ribosomal RNA
Rfam family: Bacterial small subunit ribosomal RNA
Source: RNAcentral